RNAcentral lists this long non-coding RNA (1302 nucleotides) under Camarhynchus parvulus. RNAcentral's name for it is "lncRNA (ENSCPVG00000016933.1)". The record is from RNAcentral. Lineage: Eukaryota; Metazoa; Chordata; Aves; Passeriformes; Thraupidae.
AUGGCGAUGGAGCGCUGCCGGGCGUCGCGCUCCUGCGCCUCCUGCAGCUCCUUCCAGAGCGCGUCCAGCUCGGAGCCGCCGCCGGGCGCGGGCCGCUCCAGCCGCUCGGCCAGGCCGCGGAACCGCUCCAGCUCCGCCAGCAGCCGCCGGACGCGCUCGGGCUCCGCGUACGGGUCGGCCUCGAUGAGCUGCACGGCCCGGGGCCGCUGCCCCUCCUGCGCCCCCGCCUUGGUGGGCUGCAGCAGCCCCCCGGGCGCGGCCGAGCCGCCGGGCUGGCUCUCGGGGCUGGACGACAGCAGGUCGGCGGGGCAGGGGCUCUGCCGCGGGAACGGCGGCUCCGCGGGGCCCGGCGGGGGCAGCGCCGGAGGCGGCCGCGGCGCCGGGGGCUGCAUGGGCAGGGCCGGGGACGGGGACGGCGCCGGGGACGGGACCAGCGGGCCCGGGACCACCACGGAGCCCGGCAGCGGCCCGGGAGAAGGGGCCUGGCUGGGCGGGGCGGGACCAGCGGGGGGACCCAGGGCCAUGGUGCCGGGGGGCAGCUGGGCGCCGGGGGGAGCCGGGCUGGGGCAGAAGGGCAGGGCGGGGGACGCGGGGGGCACCGGCUGGAGCCCCCCCAGCGCCGGGGGGGCCGCUCGGGGCCGGGGGCCUGGGGAAGGGCACGGCCCCCGGGUGCGGGGCCAGGCCCGCGGGGGGCAGCUGCUCCUGGAGCUGGUAGAGCUGCGGGGGCAGCGGGGGCUGCGCCGGGCCCGGCGGGGGCAGCUGCGCCCCCGGAGCGGGGAAGCGCUGCUGCUGCUGCUGCUGCUGGGGGAAUUGGGCCGGGGGCGCCAGGGGCACUCGGGGGGCUGCUGGAAGGGCAGAGGGGCCUGGGCUCGGCCCGGGGGUAGGAAGGGACCCGGCGGGAACUGCUGCGGGCCCUGGGCGAAGGCGGGCGGGGGCUGUGCCGGGGGGAAGGGGGCCGGGGCCGGCGCCCCGAAGGGCUGCACUCCCCCGUCGUGUAGGGGAAGGGCGCCGGGGGCCCCCCCGGGCGCUGGGGGGGCAGGAAGGGGCCCCGGGGGGGCACGGAGCAGCUGGAGAUGGGCGUCUGGACGCUGUCCACCGUGGUGGUGGCCGGGCGGGUGCCCGGGGGCUCGUGGCCCCCCAGCCCCGGCUGGGCACCCGCGGGCGCUGCCCCGGGCACGGGCGGGCGGAGCGGGGCGGGGGCCGGGCCGGGCUGGCCCAGGCCGUAGGCGGGGGCGGGCAGGGCCCCGUGCUGGGGGGACGAGCGCGGGGGCGGCACGUGGGGGCCCCCCGAAGGGCGGCUGA